Long non-coding RNA from Ochotona curzoniae (black-lipped pika), 689 nucleotides. RefSeq lists it as uncharacterized. NCBI's taxonomy places the organism in Eukaryota, Metazoa, Chordata, Mammalia, Lagomorpha, Ochotonidae. The transcript is spliced from 3 exons. The record is from RefSeq and is a predicted model, not a curated record.
UACUCAACCACAAGUUGCUUAUUGAAUUCUGUCUGGAAAAUAUUAUUCACUGAAAUCAUGUCUCAAUAGAACAAAGUUUAAUUUUGUAAUUAGCCAAGCCAUCUGUUAGUGCAAGCUAUCUAAAUGAAAGAGGUUCUACUUCUAGAAUUUUUCAUGGUUAGUGAUGGUUUUUGUAAUGGGUGACUGAAAGAAGGAAACACUGUAAGUUUCAAAUUAUAGGUAGAAAUAGAAUGUCAACUUUCUUCUGCUUUUGAUAACUUACCAAGAGAGAACAAAAUAAUCUCCUGAAGACUAUUUCUUUUGUUUUUUGAGUGUUUUUGAAGCUCUUGUGCUACAUGCAGGACCAGGAAAGUUUCCAUUUAUGAACCUAUAAGAAAGUCUGCAAAUGGAGCUAUAAGCAUAUCGCUGCAGCCAGUUCUUCUGGAGGCGACGCCUUUGAACGCAGAGUCUGAAAGGCAAGGACAAGAGACCAGGCGUUUUCAAUGUCAGAGAUAAUCUUUUAGUGCCUCUAAAGUACCCUUCCUUCCCAAAGGCCUCACAUUAGUCUCUGUGUACAUUGCUGAAAUUCUAAUGCACUCCUCCCGCUAUGGAUAAAUGGAAUGGAUGUUGUGAGUUGUCUUCAUGUAAUUCUCAAACUUUCUUCAUCUUUGUCUCUUACUCUCUUUCUCUCUCGCUGAGUACCUCCUGUU